This 497-nucleotide ribosomal RNA is filed under the name uncultured bacterium. RNAcentral's name for it is "bacterial SSU rRNA". It matches the Rfam family "Bacterial small subunit ribosomal RNA", at positions 29 to 518 of the family's 1533-position model. The record is from RNAcentral.
AUGAACGCUAGCGACAGGCUAACACAUGCAAGUCGAGGGGUAACAGGGUAGCAAUACCGCUGACGACCGGCGCACGGUGAGUAACGCGUAUGCAACCUGCCUAUAACUGGGGAAUAGCUCCCUGAAAGGGGGAAUUAACACCGCAUAACACUAUUGAUUCGCAUGGAUUAGUAGUUAAAUGUAGCGAUACAGGUUAUAGAUGGGCAUGCGUGACAUUAGCUAGUUGGUGAGGUAACGGCUCACCAAGGCUACGAUGUCUAGGGGUUCUGAGAGGGAGGUCCCCCACACUGGUACUGAGACACGGACCAGACUCCUACGGGAGGCAGCAGUGAGGAAUAUUGGUCAAUGGGCGCAAGCCUGAACCAGCCAUGUCGCGUGCAGGAAGAACCUGCCCUAUGGGUUGUAAACUGCUUUUAUAGUAGAAGAAACACAUCUACGUGUAGAUGUCUGCCAGUAUACUAUGAAUAAGCAUCGGCUAACUCCGUGCCAGCCGCGGC